AGGAAGCUGCAACAUGUCAGGAAGGAUGAUGUGAGGACAGCUGUGAAGAGGAUCAAGAAUGGAAAGGCAGUUGAUCCAGAUGACAUUCCCAUGGACGCAUGGAAAUGUUUAGGA
Long non-coding RNA from Thalassophryne amazonica, 114 nucleotides. RefSeq lists it as uncharacterized. The record is from RefSeq and is a predicted model, not a curated record. NCBI's taxonomy places the organism in Eukaryota, Metazoa, Chordata, Actinopteri, Batrachoidiformes, Batrachoididae. The transcript has 3 exons.